This is a long non-coding RNA of Cydia splendana, 2057 nucleotides long. RefSeq lists it as uncharacterized. Lineage: Eukaryota; Metazoa; Arthropoda; Insecta; Lepidoptera; Tortricidae. The record is from RefSeq and is a predicted model, not a curated record. The transcript is spliced from 2 exons.
UAAUGAUCAAGUUUUCUUGCCUUUUUCUUAAUAAAAAAUAUGAAAGCGAUAAAAAAAAAAUACAAUUUGGUUUUCGUAGAAAGUAUAAUACUGGACUUACCUGAUAAUAUAUCAAGUUUUGAAAAUUUCUCAAGCUGUCUUGUAAAUGUGUUGUCCGUACAGAAGGAAUAAAAUAGAGAAGUCGGUUUAAACUGAACUGAACGCAAUUUUGGCGGGUGAUCGAACGAGCGAGCGAAGCGAAGUGAAGUUCUUACAUUCAACUUGGAACACACCGCUGGCUAGGGGCACGUCCCGGCAUUUCGAUGUUUUUAAGCUGAGCUAUCAGAGGAUAGUUUGAUACACAAUAACUUAAGUAAAUUUGUUCUAAUUUAAAUGAAAUUGGGUAAACGUGUAGUUGAGGGCAUUGUAUUUUAGUCAUUAAAUUAUGAGCAGGCUCGAUCAAGGUGUUAUUGAGUUAGAAGAGCUUAAAAGGCUAGAAAGCUAUUUGUGAGGGGUCUUGCUUUUCUGGUCAUCUUAUUUGCAAGAAAGUAUGGUCGAGUUUGGUAUCAAAUGAAAGUGCUCGGCUUUUAUAAUAUUGUUUUUAAGUUUACCAUUUUUAAAUAAUUAACAAGAUAAAAAUAAACAUAAUAUAGGUAUUUGACAUUUGACAAGAAAGAUAACGGCUUACCACAGAUACAGUUUAUUUUAAUCUCUAUGGUGUUGUGAUGGGCUCCGCAGACCUUGCAAUAAAUCACAUGCGGUUUUCGAUCCUUUGCCGACUAAGUAGUAGGUUCAUUAAAUUGAUCUAACUUUUUGGCGAACCGCGAGUUCUCAGUUCGGGGCGAACUAUUAGUUUAAAUCAAACUUACUAAACAUUUUAACCAUGAGAUAACGGAGAUGGUACACGCGUCUUGGGUGAGAGGCCAUUGUGUGCGUGCAGCCAAGUAUCUUUCAAACGGAUAAACUAAUUUCAUCGCUGUUUUCUGUGAUCCUAGCUAACAUUUUGAAGUAAUGAUUAAAAUGGCAAAUAGAUCUGGAUCAAGGUAUCAAUGAAAUCAAAUAAGAAAAUCUAUUAGUGGGAACACUAAACUUUUAGGGAAUACUAAACGUUUAAGUAAAGAAUAUGUGCGCAGAUAAUGUUCAUAAAAUCAGUUAAAUAUGGAAAACCAUUUAUUUUCGAGAACUCAAUACAAGAUGUGUUUCAACUGAGGGGAAUCUCUGUGGUGAGGUUCAUUUAAAAGCUAGUUUGUAUUGUAUCUUUAUGGUGAUAUUAUUUUCACGCUGUUUGGAUUAUGGUGAUAUUAUUUUCACGCUGUUGCAUUUUAAGUCUCUUAAUGAAUUGUUCGAAAUGUAUCUCUACCCCAUUUCCGUUGAAAUAUGGCCUGAUUGAAUAUCGUGAUGCUACUGAUGCUGAAAUUGUUCAUUCACAACAAUGAUCUAUGUGCGUGUUAUUGAAAGAGUUGAGUUGAGUUGCCUGUCAGUAUCCAAAAGUUAUGGAGGAACUUACUUUGGUCAGGUAGGCCGAGCAAUGAGCUUAGAUACCUCAGAUUGUUGUAUUCUGUCCGCAGAUGUAUGCAGUGAUGCAUACAAUGUCAGGAUGCCGUGGUGGUGCAGAUGAUCUGCGCUCUACAGUCUCUUUUGGGAGAAGAAGAUCUCAUCUUUGCUCUAGUCUACCAGUGAAAAUCAUAAAGGGGGAUUGAUAACGUACGGAGGGACCCGUACAAUGUCAGGUUGGCCGUGUCGGAGAAUGGCUGAAAUGUGCCAUCUAUCGCCUUCAAGAGGCGUUUUGUCAUGCAAACCUUGACAAAUAGAGCAAACUAGGGUGUUACGUACACUUGAGUGGCGUUCGACGCAGUUCCGCCAAGACGUCAUAGAGUGCGCUCUUAAAACAAUUGAAGUCCAGAACAAUUGAAGUUAUGCUGUCAAUCAAUCUUCAGAAGGAGCACGAUGAGAACGAACGGGGGAAGAUGACGUCUGUGGCGGCUCCUGGGUCUAAUCCACUGGUUUGCUUAAGAUAAGAAACGUAACGCGUGCUGUGAUUUGUAAUGAGUCUUGUGCAGUAAAGAUUGUGAGUUGAA